This is a non-coding RNA of Poecilia reticulata (guppy), 400 nucleotides long. Lineage: Eukaryota; Metazoa; Chordata; Actinopteri; Cyprinodontiformes; Poeciliidae. The record is from RefSeq and is a predicted model, not a curated record.
AGUUCAACGUGUGUUUCGUCUUUUCUGUAUCACAGCGUCAAACGUUGAGGACAAAAAACCACAUUACCCUCAGCACAUCCAAGGUUGCCAGAUGGUUUAUCACAACUGUGUCAACUCUGCUCYUCAAAUAAGGAAGUGACCAGCAGGACUCUGGAAAGCAGACUGYAGCCAAUCAGCUUGCAGCAGCCGGUUUCAACACACGAGGUCAGCCAAGCUACCAAAGCAGAGGAAACACGCUGGAUUCUCCCAAAGCAGCAGAAAAUGAGGAGAUGGAGCCCCAGACUCGUCUCUCUGCCAUUUCUCAGUCAUGCAAAUUGACACAAGUAAAAAUGUCUGACAUUUUCAGCGAUGUCGUCUCUCGUCAGGUUUCAAAUAAAAACAUGAGUCUUUGCUUCUGCUC